GACGAACGCUGGCGGCGUGCCUAAUACAUGCGAGUUGAGCGAUGAAGAUUGGUGCUUGCACCAAUUUGAAGAGCAGCGAACGGGUGAGUAACGCGCGGGGAAUCUGCCUUUGAGCGGGGGACAACAUUUGGAAACGAAUGCUAAUACCGCAUAACAACUUUAAACAUAAGUUUUAAGUUUGAAAGAUGCAAUUGCAUCACUCAAAGAUGAUCCCGCGUUGUAUUAGCUAGUUGGUGAGGUAAAGGCUCACCAAGGCGAUGAUACAUAGCCGACCUGAGAGGGUGAUCGGCCACAUUGGGACUGAGACACGGCCCAAACUCCUACGGGAGGCAGCAGUAGGGAAUCUUCGGCAAUGGACGAAAGUCUGACCGAGCAACGCCGCGUGAGUGAAGAAGGUUUUCGGAUCGUAAAACUCUGUUGGUAGAGAAGAACGUGGGUGAGAGUGGAAAGCUCAUCAAGUGACGGUAACUACCCAGAAAGGGACGGCUAACUACGU
This 496-nucleotide ribosomal RNA is filed under the name uncultured bacterium. RNAcentral describes it as "partial 16S ribosomal RNA". It matches the Rfam family "Bacterial small subunit ribosomal RNA", at positions 28 to 506 of the family's 1533-position model. The record is from RNAcentral.